CGUUGUGGUGUAGUAGUAAAAAUUUACGGCUCUCACCCGUAAGGCCCGGGUUCGAUUCCCGGGGCAACGG
Molecule: transfer RNA, 70 nt
Filed under: Angiostrongylus costaricensis
Lineage: Eukaryota; Metazoa; Nematoda; Chromadorea; Rhabditida; Metastrongylidae
Rfam family: tRNA
About the family: Transfer RNA (tRNA) molecules are approximately 80 nucleotides in length. Their secondary structure includes four short double-helical elements and three loops (D, anti-codon, and T loops).
Source: Rfam by way of RNAcentral